GACGAACGCUGGCGGCGUGCUUAACACAUGCAAGUCGAACGGAAAGGCCCUGCUUGCGGGGUGUUCGCGUGGGGCAAGCGGGAGUAAAACGCGGGUGUACCGUCCUCCACAUCGUGGGAUACCUUCAGAAAAGGGGGUAUUACAGGAGAUAACAUUUCCUGUUGCGUGGGGGGGGGUGGAAUUUUUCGGCGGUUGGGGAUGGACCCGCGGCUUAUCAGGUUGUUGGUGGGGUGGUGGCCUACCAAGGCUUUGGCGGGUAGCCGGCCUGAGAGGGUGGACGGCCACAUUGGGACUGAGAUACGGCCCAGACUCCUACGGGAGGCAGCAGUGGGGAAUAUUGCACAAUGGGCGGAAGCCUGAUGCAGCAACGCCGCGUGGGGGAUGACGGCCUUCGGGUUGUAAACCGCUUUCGACUGGGACGAAGCGUCAGUGACGGUACUGGGAGAAGAAGCACCGGCUAACUACGUG
RNAcentral lists this ribosomal RNA (468 nucleotides) under uncultured bacterium. RNAcentral's name for it is "partial 16S ribosomal RNA". It matches the Rfam family "Bacterial small subunit ribosomal RNA", at positions 28 to 507 of the family's 1533-position model. The record is from RNAcentral.